GCGGAGUUGGCGGAAUUGGUAGACGCGCAGCCUUGAGGUGGCUGUGUCCGUAAGGACGUGAGGGUUCGAGUCCCUUGCCCCGCACCA
Molecule: transfer RNA, 87 nt
Filed under: Gallionellales bacterium 24-53-125
Lineage: Bacteria; Pseudomonadati; Pseudomonadota; Betaproteobacteria; Nitrosomonadales
Also listed under: 10 other names
Description: tRNA-Leu
Rfam family: tRNA
About the family: Transfer RNA (tRNA) molecules are approximately 80 nucleotides in length. Their secondary structure includes four short double-helical elements and three loops (D, anti-codon, and T loops).
Source: RNAcentral